AGAACAUGUUACCUAAAGCAAUGACUAGAAGUAGGGACCUGCAAGACCAUGUGUUGAUGUCAAAGGGAACAGAAUGGAAAAACACACUGUCAGUCCUGCCAGAUGUAUCAUAUGGGUCUAACCACAAGCAAAAGACAAAGAGAUCCCAGGCUGAGGAUGUUUCUACUGGAUCAUAAUCUCCCAGAACACCAGGGUCAAGGAAAGGCGGG
This 209-nucleotide long non-coding RNA is filed under the name Fukomys damarensis (Damara mole-rat). RNAcentral's name for it is "lncRNA (ENSFDAG00000029657.1)". Lineage: Eukaryota; Metazoa; Chordata; Mammalia; Rodentia; Bathyergidae. The record is from RNAcentral.